Molecule: long non-coding RNA, 695 nt
Organism: Ictalurus punctatus (channel catfish)
Lineage: Eukaryota; Metazoa; Chordata; Actinopteri; Siluriformes; Ictaluridae
Exons: 2
Source: RefSeq, a predicted model, not a curated record
UUGAAAAGAGAAGGGUGAACGUGAGGAAUGCCUCGAGGAAGCACAAGGACGGUGCAACAAGUAAACACAUUGGGGCGUGGUGUUCUAGGAAAACAGUCAAUAAUCUGCCAUGGUGUGAUGCAGCCCGACAGAAAACAAUGAUCCUGAUUGCUUCUGCCUUCCGGACCGGCCUGCUCCACCCUGAUACUCUACUUCUCCUCAGCACGUCCUUCACCUGAAAAUUUGUACAUAAGGUAUAUUUACCUCCGCUUUAUUCUUACAAUAGUGCCGCAGUAACACGUUCGUUUCUCCACGAUAGAUUAAUGCACGUUUAUCUUAUCUUAUCUUCUCUAAAAGAGAGGCAGUGUGUCUGUAUCACAUAUAGAGUAUCUGACACACUUCCUGAUCCAAUCUACAGGCUGUAUCCCACGAUCAUAUCCUGUGAACACAAUACAGACAGUGUACAAAAGCAAGUGCUGGUGUUUCACCCAAUCAAGCACAUGAAACUUGAUUUAAAAAUGCCUUACCGAUAUUCUUGUGGCCCUGGAUGUCUUCUAGCACGGAUCUUUCUUUGAGAUAGCCGUAAUCUCCACCCUGUGCGUCCAGAAGAAACUCUUUCACAGCAGCAGAGCUGGACCUGGCAGAACUCACACGGUACACAGAGGCAGAACCUCCCUGUCCUAACCGAGCCUGCACCUUCCACAUCUCCCCAAAGA